GAAGAAAGAUGGAGGCGUGCUUAACACAUGCAAGUCGAACGGAAAGGCCCUGCUUUUGUGGGGUGCUCGAGUGGCGAACGGGUGAGUAACACGUGAGUAACCUGCCCUUGACUUUGGGAUAACUUCAGGAAACUGGGGCUAAUACCGGAUAGGAGCUCCUGCUGCAUGGUGGGGGUUGGAAAGUUUCGGCGGUUGGGGAUGGACUCGCGGCUUAUCAGCUUGUUGGUGGGGUAGUGGCUUACCAAGGCUUUGACGGGUAGCCGGCCUGAGAGGGUGACCGGCCACAUUGGGACUGAGAUAUGGCCCAGACUCCUACGGGAGGCAGCAGUGGGGAAUAUUGCACAAUGGGCGGAAGCCUGAUGCAGCAACGCCGCGUGCGGGAUGACGGCCUUCGGGUUGUAAACCGCUUUCGCCUGUGACGAAGCGUGAGUGACGGUAAUGGGUAAAGAAGCACCGGCUAACUACGUG
This 468-nucleotide ribosomal RNA is filed under the name uncultured bacterium. RNAcentral describes it as "partial 16S ribosomal RNA". It matches the Rfam family "Bacterial small subunit ribosomal RNA", at positions 31 to 507 of the family's 1533-position model. The record is from RNAcentral.